This 700-nucleotide unclassified non-coding RNA is filed under the name Bombus terrestris (buff-tailed bumblebee). Its description in RNAcentral is "misc RNA ENSBTSG00005034618.1". Lineage: Eukaryota; Metazoa; Arthropoda; Insecta; Hymenoptera; Apidae. The record is from RNAcentral.
CGUGUACGUUGCCAUGUACAAUGAUAUGAAAUAUGGAUACGUACGAUACGACCAACGUAGAACGCGUCCUGCGGUAUCUUUGUCAUCGAAGACGCGUUAGUUGGAGGCGGUGGCCUUUGACACGAGAUUGCUAGAGUGUCUGACGUUUUAAUUGCUUUGGCUGGCGAGAAUCAGGUUAGGUUCAAGCAAAAGCGUUCGCGAUAACGAGGGCAAUGUUUCGACGUUGACUACGAUGGAUGAGAAAUUACGACGUUUUGGCCCUUGACGACGAGGUUGUUCGUAGAGCUUCGCGAAAGCAAACAGCCACGGUGUACAAAAUGUGGAAGAAAAUGGCACGGGAGAGCGAUUCCAGUUGGACAAAUAAAUCUGGCGACACGUAGAAGAGGCGGGAUAAUACGGCGCAGAGUAACUUUCGUUGAAAAAACAAGCCGAAAAUUGAAGGUACGAGUUGACAUUUGGAAGAUCGUGGCUCGGGAGAAAACACGAAUCGGACAAGUGAACAAGGAAAUUGUUACGAAAAUAGAACGACUUGCACACUGAAAAAUAAAUUUCUCGAUAUAUAGAAUAUAUUCACGAGGGAGGAAAUCAAUAGCAUGGAAUGUUUUCCUCUUUCCUGAAAAAGUAUUUUCCCUUCACUGGAAAUAAUUAACUUAAUGUCCUAAUAACUAACGUCUAUCUGUUUUACGUUCAAUUUUGCAAA